GCUAGUGUCUAAAAACUUAGUUUAAACUAACUUAAAGGUGAAGAGGCCUUUAUAAGAAAGAAGGACGACAAGACCCUAUGAAGCUUUAUCUUAUUAGGGAUUUGAAAGAUCCUUAUACGAUUUUGAUGGGAGAUCAGUAAAAAUAAGUCUUUUACCAUUAUUUUUAUCUUACAAGUGUUUCCUAAUUUUAUAUGUGUGACUAGCUACUCUAGGGAUAACAGCGCAAUUUCUCCCGAAAGAUGGUAUUGGAGGGGAAGAUUGCGACCUCGAUGUUGGC
RNAcentral lists this ribosomal RNA (277 nucleotides) under Mytilus coruscus. RNAcentral's name for it is "partial 16S ribosomal RNA". The stretch from base 33 to 277 matches the Rfam family "Bacterial large subunit ribosomal RNA", at positions 2048 to 2536 of the family's 2925-position model. Lineage: Eukaryota; Metazoa; Mollusca; Bivalvia; Mytilida; Mytilidae. The record is from RNAcentral.